Long non-coding RNA from Trifolium pratense (red clover), 676 nucleotides. RefSeq lists it as uncharacterized. The transcript has 2 exons. The record is from RefSeq and is a predicted model, not a curated record. NCBI's taxonomy places the organism in Eukaryota, Viridiplantae, Streptophyta, Magnoliopsida, Fabales, Fabaceae.
CCAAGUGCGCUAAAGCGGUAAAUAACACGUGUACUUAAGCACUAAAAACUAUAUAAUGUAUGUAAGGAGAAGAUAAACUUCAUAAUAAAUUAUAAAGUGAAAAAACGAAAUUCUAUUUCUAACACGCAAAGGGAAGAAAAUAUGGCUGAAGCUAUUAAGUUUGUUUAUGUUAUAAUUAUCUUUUUUUCCCUAUUUCUUAUUGCAAUGAACGUUGAUGCGGAGAUUAUGUGUAGUGACGUUUCUGAUUGUCCAAAUGAAAUAUCUACAUGCGCUGGUGAUAUGGAAGUGAAGUGUUAUAGGUUUAAGUUGGGUUUCUUCUCUUUCGUUUAUCCUUAUCGCGUUUGUGUAUGUUAUGGAGAGAAGUCCUUAUUCCUGAUCUCAUAAACUACUCCUUCUGUCCUAAAAUAUAAGGAAAAGUUGGUCAAACAAAGUUGAUGUAUUUAGUCCAAAUUUUUAACCAAAUACAUCAACUUUGUUGGACCAAUUUUCCCUUAUAUUUUGGGACGAAAGGAGUAUCAUUUAAUUAUUGUUUUCGCCCAAUAAAAUUACUAAGACACAAUUUAAAUCUCUUUUUCUUGUGUUUUUUUACCACGUUCAUAAACGUGUUAUGAUUCUCUACCUUAUGGAACCUAUGUAUUAUGGAACUAAUAAUUUUACGAUGUUCAAGUUUUACUUC